UACGUAGGGGGCUAGCGUUAUCCGGAAUUACUGGGCGUAAAGGGUGCGUAGGUGGUUUCUUAAGUCAGAGGUGAAAGGCUACGGCUCAACCGUAGUAAGCCUUUGAAACUGGGAAACUUGAGUGCAGAAGAGGGAAGUGGAAUUCCAUGUGUAGCGGUGAAAUGCGUAGAGAUAUGGAGGAACACCAGUGGCGAAGGCGGCUUCCUGGUCUGUAACUGACACUGAGGCGCGAAAGCGUGGGGAGCAAACAGGAUUAGAUACCCGGGUAGUCCCUGAGCGGGCU
RNAcentral lists this ribosomal RNA (283 nucleotides) under uncultured prokaryote. RNAcentral describes it as "partial 16S ribosomal RNA". It matches the Rfam family "Bacterial small subunit ribosomal RNA", at positions 524 to 817 of the family's 1533-position model. The record is from RNAcentral.